Molecule: ribosomal RNA, 403 nt
Filed under: uncultured bacterium
Lineage: Bacteria
Description: partial 16S ribosomal RNA
Rfam family: Bacterial small subunit ribosomal RNA
Source: RNAcentral
GACGAACGCUGGCGGCGUGCCUAAUACAUGCAAGUCGAACGCAGUGGGUACGGGUGAGUAACACGUGGGUAACCUCCUAUCAGAAGGGCUAACAUUUGGAAACACGCACUAAACCGAUACUGAUGGAUGGACCCGCGGUGCAUUAGCUAGUUGGUGAGGUAACGGCUAACAAAGGCGACGAUGCAUAGCGGACCUGAGAGGGUGAUCGGCCACACUGGGACUGAGACACGGCCCAGACUCCUACGGGAGGCAGCAGUAGGGAAUCGUCGGCAAUGGACGAAAGUCUGACCGAGCAACGACGCGUGAGUGAAGAAGGUUUUCGGAUCGUAAAGCUCUGUUGGUAGGGAAGCGGUAUCUAACCAGAAAGCCACGGCUAAAUACGUGCCAGCAGCCGCGGUAAUUC